GCCGGAAUAGCUCAGUUGGGAGAGCGUUAGACAAAAGAUCUAAAGGCCCCCGGUUCAUACCCGGGUUCCGGCA
Non-coding RNA from Dreissena polymorpha, 73 nucleotides. Lineage: Eukaryota; Metazoa; Mollusca; Bivalvia; Myida; Dreissenidae. The record is from the annotation of a RefSeq genome assembly.